CAAAGGCAUGGUCCCAACCUUAUUAUCAGCUCUAACUCAACUUACACAUGCAAGUCUCCGCAGUCCAGUGAAUAUGCCCUCAAUCCCCUGCCCGGGGACGAGGAGCGGGCAUCAGGCACAAACAUUAGCCCAAGACGCCUAGCCAAGCCACACCCCCAAGGGAAUUCAGCAGUGAUAAACAUUAAACCAUAAGUGAAAACUUGACUUAGUUAGUGUUAAAAGGGCCGGUAAAACUCGUGCCAGCCACCGCGGUUAGACGAGAGACCCUAGUUGAUAUUACAACGGCGUAAAGGGUGGUUAAGGAUAAAUAAAAAUAAAGCCAAAUGGCCCCUCGGCCGUCACACGCUUCUGGACGUCUGAAGCCCUAAUACGAAAGUAGCUUUAAUAAACCAACCUGAACCCACGAAAGCUGAGAAACAAACUGGGAUUAGAUACCCCACUAUGCUCAGCCAUAAACUCAGACAUCUAACUACAAUCAGAUGUCCGCCAGGGUAUUACGAGCAUCAGCUUAAAACCCAAAGGACCUGACGGUGUCUCAGACCCCCCUAGAGGAGCCUGUUCUAGAACCGAUAACCCCCGUUCAACCUCACCACUUUUAGCCACCCCAGCCUAUAUACCGCCGUCGUCAGCUUACCCUGUGAAGGGAAAAAAGUAAGCAAAAUGGGUACAACCCAGAACGUCAGGUCGAGGUGUAGCGCAUGAAGUGGAAAGAAAUGGGCUACAUUUUCUACUUACAGAAUACCACGAACGUAUGCCAUGAAACAGCAACUGAAGGAGGAUUUAGUAGUAAAAGGGAAACAGAGUGUCCCUUUGAACCCGGCUCUGAGACGCGUACACACCGCCCGUCACUCUCCCUCACAACAUCGAACCAAACAAUACUUAAUACGAAAGAACAAACAAGGGGAGGCAAGUCGUAACACGGUAAGUGUACCGGAAGGUGCACUUGGACCAAACC
RNAcentral lists this non-coding RNA (955 nucleotides) under Balantiocheilos melanopterus (tricolor sharkminnow). Its description in RNAcentral is "12S rRNA". It matches the Rfam family "Bacterial small subunit ribosomal RNA". The record is from RNAcentral. Lineage: Eukaryota; Metazoa; Chordata; Actinopteri; Cypriniformes; Cyprinidae.